Molecule: long non-coding RNA, 2477 nt
Filed under: Ovis aries (sheep)
Lineage: Eukaryota; Metazoa; Chordata; Mammalia; Artiodactyla; Bovidae
Description: lncRNA (ENSOARG00000026674.1)
Source: RNAcentral
CCUAGGCCCAGGCCCCGCCCCUGCCCCGCCCUUCCAGUCGCAGUGGCCUGGCCGCGGCGGCUCCGGAGGUUUCAGCCCAGGUGAAAACGAACUUGGACCUGGCCUGGGGCUCCGAGGAGGGUCCAUGCGGGCUGGGCGCCGCCGGACAGCCCCGGCUCGACCCUCCCUACCCCGCUCCCAUCUGCAGCCCCGGGCGGCCAACAGGCAAAGCCAGGACUUGUCCCGGACGUUGCUGGAGAGAUGCGGGCGAGCGUCCGCCAACAUUUUACGGAUGAAGAGGACUCAGGCCGCGGUCCCCCCGGAAACAGCUGGUAAGAAGGGAGGCGGACGAGCAAGCCCGGUGGUCCAUCGGCGCCGCCCAGAUGGCAUCUUCCAGACAACAUCGAUGGUAGCCUGGGAGUGCCUUCUACAGAGCACGCACCCUUACCUCCUGGUGUGGGAGGCGAAGAGUGUUUCCGAUUCUGUUCCUCUCCAGGGCACUGCUGGAGCCGGGACUGAUCGCUGGGACCUGUCUAGGCUCUCCGGAGCGCUGUGGGUCUGGGCUCCUAAGACUAUGCGGGACAUUGGACCCUGCAUCCUGGGACCCUCCCCAUGCACGCCACAGAGCCAGGCAUACCAAUCCGGCUGCCACCAGGGAUCAAACUGGGGCUCCGUGGGAGGGUUUGGAGGAGACUGGCCUCAAGAUCAAGGAUGGCGAUGGUGCUGUCUGCCCUGCCUGAACAUUCAUGCAGGUCCUGGCCAGCAUCCGCAGCACAGACCCAGCUCACUCCUUUUCAUAGAAGAGACAGAGGUUCACUGCCUGGUCUCUGUGCAAGUGAGAGGCAGGCACAUCCCUGCCUGUCCCCCGUCCUAUGCUCCUCACACACUCUCAGGUCUUCCCCAUCUUCUCACUGGCAAUCACACCGAAAGGUCAGAAGAAGCUUGGCAACUAAGGUGCAUCCGUAGUUUCAGCACACCAGGAAGCUUCUGCACAGGCUAGCAAGAAGCUGAGCAGAGACAGACAGGCACUGUAUGGUUGUCACUUACAUGUGGGAAGCAAGAGUGGAAACACAGUGAAGGACAGGGAAGCCUGGUGUGCUGCAGCCCGUGGGGUCGCAAAGAGUCGGGCACGACUGGGCAACUGAACCACAGCAGUGGUAAAGAGAUGAGGUUCACCAGAGGAAGCGGAGGGGUGGGAGCGCAGGAGGGCGAUCACAAGGCACAGACUUCUAGGUAAGGGUAAAUCACUAGGGAUGCUCUGCUGCCAUUGUUCAGUCACUAAGUCAUGUCUGAUUCUCUGUGACCCCAUGACCUGCAGCACCCCAGGCUUCCCUGUCCUUCACUGUCUCCCGGAGUCUGCUCAAUCUCAUGUCCAUUGAGUCGGUGACGUAACAUACAGCAUGAUAAACAUAACUAACUCUGCUGUGUGUUACCUGUGGAAGUCAUUAAGGGCCUAGAACCUAAGAGCUCUCAUCACAGAAAACAUUUUUUUCCCCUGUUGCUCUUGCUUUUAUUGAAUCCACACGAGAUGCGCACUAAGCUUGCCGCUUUACAACACGUGUAAGUCAGACCAUUCUGUUGUGCAUCUUACGCAAUGGCAUGUGGCAGUUAUGCCUCAGUGAAACUGGAGAAAAAUAAAGAAGCUGGAGAGCAGUCAGGAUGCCGUCUUACAGCCUGAAUCAUUCAUGUCGCUUCUCCGAACACUGAGCGGCUCCCGCCUCCCACUGUCUGCAGUGCCCUGCAGGCUUGGCCUCCAACCUGACCCCGAUCUUCGCUGCCCUCCUCUCACCCUUGCUGACAUCACUGCAGCUGCACUGGCCCCUGUGGCUCCACAGGCUUUACAGGCACGAUCCCACCUCAGGGCCCUCACAUUUGCUCCUCUGCUGCCUGUGUAAGCACGGCCCCAUGGCUCCACCACCCCCUCUGGGAUUUUAUUCAAAUGUUACCUUCCUUGGUGGUGACUCAGAAAGUAAAGAAUCUGCCUGCAAUGCAGGAGACCUGGGUUUGAUCCCUGGAUCAGGAAGAUCCCCUGGAGGAGGGCAUGGCAACCCACUCCAGAGGUCUUGCCUGGAGAAUCCCAUGGACGCAGGAGCCUGGCGGGCACAGUCCAUGGGGUCACAAACAGUCGGAUAAAAAUAAGGGACUAACACUACCUUCUCAGGGAGCCCUGCCUUGACCACCCAGUCUCAAAUGUUCACACUCCCCUGAUGUUUCCUCUUUCUCUAUUCUGUUGAACUUUUCUUCCUGGUGCUUCUUCCCUGCUAACCUAUUAUAUAUUUUGCAUUUUGUUUCAUUUGCUUUUUGUCUCCUCCAAAGAAUGUAUGUUCCACCAAAGCAGUGAUCUCUGUCCCUUCUGUCCCUUCAUAUCUCCAGCACCAAGCACUCAGUAAGUGCUCCAUUGUGGAAUUAAUGAGUUUCUGAAAGACGUAAACGUGGUCAGCUUGGGAGAAACUAAACAGCACUCAGGAAUCGCUGCCAAACAGGUUAAGGAGUUGGUC